RNAcentral lists this ribosomal RNA (266 nucleotides) under uncultured bacterium. RNAcentral's name for it is "partial 16S ribosomal RNA". It matches the Rfam family "Bacterial small subunit ribosomal RNA", at positions 89 to 354 of the family's 1533-position model. The record is from RNAcentral.
CUUUAAGUGGCGGACGGGGUGAGUAACGCGUGGGCAACCUGCCCCGUGCCGGGGGAUACCGCCUGGAAACAGGCGCUAAUACCGCAUAAGCGCAUACAGCCGCAUGGCAGUAUGCGGAAAGCUCCGGCGGCACGGGAUGGGCCCGCGCCCGAUUAGCCAGUUGGCGGGGUAACGGCCCACCAAAGCGACGAUCGGUAGCCGGCCUGAGAGGGCGGACGGCCACAUUGGGACUGAGACACGGCCCAAACUCCUACGGAAGGCAGCAG